UGGGUGAUGCUCUUCUUC
RNAcentral lists this small nuclear RNA (18 nucleotides) under Arabidopsis thaliana (thale cress). Its description in RNAcentral is "snRNA_05601". Lineage: Eukaryota; Viridiplantae; Streptophyta; Magnoliopsida; Brassicales; Brassicaceae. The record is from RNAcentral.